GAUGAACGCUAGCGACAGGCCUAACACAUGCAAGUCGAGGGGCAUCGGGGCGUAGCAAUACGCUGCCGGCGACCGGCGGAUGGGUGAGUAACGCGUAUGCAACCUGCCUUCAGCAGGGGGAUAGCCCGUUGAAAGACGGAUUAAUACCCCGUAACACAGGGGCUCCGCAUGGAGAUUAUUGUUAAAGGGAUACUUCCUUCGGGGGUAUUCCGGCCGAAGAUGGGCAUGCGUUCCAUUAGGUAGUUGGUUGAGGUAACGGCUCACCAAGCCUACGAUGGAUAGGGGAACUGAGAGGUUGGUCCCCCAACUGGUACUGAGACACGGACCAGACUCCUACGGGAGGCAGCAGUGAGGAAUCUUGGUCAAAUGGACGGAAGUCUGAACCAGCCAUGUCGCGUGAAGGAGGACGGCCCUAAAGGGUUGUAAAACUUCUUUUGCAGCGGAAUAAAGUAUUCCACGAGAUGGGAUAUUGCAAGUACGCUGCGAAAUAAGGAUCGGCUAAACUCCGUGCCAGGACG
RNAcentral lists this ribosomal RNA (518 nucleotides) under uncultured bacterium. RNAcentral's name for it is "bacterial SSU rRNA". It matches the Rfam family "Bacterial small subunit ribosomal RNA", at positions 28 to 515 of the family's 1533-position model. The record is from RNAcentral.